GGGAGGGGAGGGAACAAUUUGCAGAAUGUAAGUGUACACAACAAGAGAUUCACAUGAUGAAUAUGAAUUGUUUGUAGGUGCUCUGGUCAUAAUUUAAUGAGUCAAAUAUGGUCACAACUCCUUUGGCUGUAUCAUAAAAGCAAUCCAGUGACCUCUCCAAAAAUAUUAUAUAAGAUUUUUUCAAGCAUGAAGGAGCAAAUGUAUAUAUUAUAACAAAUGGUAGAAUUUUAAACUCACUGGAAGUUGUAGGGUGCCCAUAUGUAAUGCUUAUCUUGCCACUUAAGCAUCAUAUACGCUAUGUAGGUUGAAACCCUCCUCAUAGCUUUUUUAUUGUUGUCGUACUCGUUUCGCC
RNAcentral lists this long non-coding RNA (352 nucleotides) under Setaria viridis. Its description in RNAcentral is "long non-coding RNA (SVIR_LNC010401)". The record is from RNAcentral. Lineage: Eukaryota; Viridiplantae; Streptophyta; Magnoliopsida; Poales; Poaceae.